UUUUAGCUGAUGAGUUCUAAACAGGACGAAACACGAGUCCUAGAU
Molecule: non-coding RNA, 45 nt
Filed under: Schistosoma margrebowiei
Lineage: Eukaryota; Metazoa; Platyhelminthes; Trematoda; Strigeidida; Schistosomatidae
Source: RNAcentral